GUGCUGGCUUUAGUAGCACAUACACUAAAAUUAGGACAAUACAGAGAAGACUAAUUAGCUUGGUCACUGUGAAAGGAUAACAUGCAGAUUCCUGAAAGGUUCCAUAUUUUU
Dipodomys ordii (Ord's kangaroo rat) is the source of this 111-nucleotide small nuclear RNA. NCBI's taxonomy places the organism in Eukaryota, Metazoa, Chordata, Mammalia, Rodentia, Heteromyidae. The record is from Ensembl.